AUUUUAUUGACAAAUCUAUCUCAUAACUUUAUUGUUCUUUCAUUUUGUCAUAUCGGUGGAAAAAAAAAACCCCAGGCUUUGAAAAAUUGGGUUAGGAUUCAAGAGGAACAAGAAAAUUUGUUUUCUGUUUUCGAGUUUUUGGAACUGAUAUAACCCAUUCUUCAUCCCAUUGGUUUCAUCGUUUAAGGGGUUGGGACUGAAAAGGAGUGAGAGACAUGCCUCCUCAGUCUUCAGAUUUUGUACAAGAUGGAUCUAAUCCAUAUGUGCAAGAAAACAGCUCUGCUAAUAGCUCAACAAGUUUUCCUGGUAUGAUUACUGCCAAUUAGAUUUUUUUCUAUUCAUUAGGCAGUGAUAUGUUUCUGAUGCCUCACCACUCUUGAUCACAGGACCAGUUUCAGUUGGAAUUAUUCCUUUACAAGGAGGUAAAAGUUACUUUACCUU
This is a non-coding RNA of Camellia sinensis, 441 nucleotides long. The record is from RefSeq and is a predicted model, not a curated record. Lineage: Eukaryota; Viridiplantae; Streptophyta; Magnoliopsida; Ericales; Theaceae.